UAAGGAAUAUUGGGCAAUGGAGGCAACUCUGACCCAGCCAUCCCGCGUGAAGGAUUAAGGCCCUAUGGGUUGUAAACUUCUUUUGUUUGGGAAGAAAUCAGGACAUUCAUGUGCUGUUGACGGUACCUUACGAAUAAGCACCGGCUAACUCCGUGCCAGCAGCCGCGGUAAUACGGAGGGUGCAAGCGUUAUCCGGAAUCACUGGGUUUAAAGGGUGCGUAGGCGGUUUGAUAAGUCAGAGGUGAAAGCUAGCAGCUUAACUGUUAAAUUGCCUUUGAUACUGUCAGACUUGAAUCAAGUUGAGGUAGGCGGAAUGUGACAUGUAGCGGUGAAAUGCAUAGAUAUGUCAUAGAACACCAAUUGCGUAGGCAGCUUGCUGGGCUUGAAUUGACGCUGAGGCACGAAAGCGUGGGGAUCAAACA
Molecule: ribosomal RNA, 422 nt
Filed under: uncultured bacterium
Lineage: Bacteria
Also listed under: 1 other name
Description: bacterial SSU rRNA
Rfam family: Bacterial small subunit ribosomal RNA
Source: RNAcentral